This 343-nucleotide unclassified non-coding RNA is filed under the name soil metagenome. RNAcentral describes it as "partial contains 5.8S ribosomal RNA, internal transcribed spacer 2, and large subunit ribosomal RNA". The stretch from base 1 to 120 matches the Rfam family "5.8S ribosomal RNA", at positions 35 to 154 of the family's 154-position model. The record is from RNAcentral.
GAUGAAGAACGUAGCGAAACGCGAUAAGUAAUGUGAAUUGCAGAAUCCAGUGAAUCAUCGAAUCUUUGAACGCACAUUGCGCCCGCCAGCAUUCUGGCGGGCAUGCCUGUUCGAGCGUCAUUUCAACCCUCGACCUCCCCUUGGGGAGGUCGGCGUUGGGGACCGGCAGCACACCGCCGGCCCUGAAAUGGAGUGGCGGCCCGUCCGCGGCGACCUCUGCGCAGUAAUACAGCUCGCACCGGGACCCCGACGCGGCCACGCCGUAUAACACCCAACUUCUGAACGUUGACCUCGAAUCAGGUAGGACUACCCGCUGAACUUAAGCAUAUCAAUAAGCGGAGGA